UGUAUCAGGUUACCAUUCCGCGGCAUCAUGUGAGAGAGUGUGUGACAGCUAAUGUUCCCUGGCACCUCUUCCUAGCAUGGCCUUUCUGCAACCCAUGGUGCUUAAGGAAAUGGCUGAGUAGUUUUGUUCUAGUAACCUGCUGGGUAACAGGGAACAGGGAUGUGAUAGGAGAUGCCCCUCUGACCGCCACUGUAAAUUGGGCCAGAGAUCAGAAACAGAAAGACAAGUCCCGUGUGACUGGCUGCUGUCCUGACCUUUACCUUGUACAUAACUCAUGCCGAAAUGCCCUUCUUGGAACAAAGACUGUCAAGAGAGCUGGGAAGGCAUGGGCUUCCUGGUUUCUAGUCUCCGCUUCCACCGGGUUCCCUAGAAGGAACUGUAGGGUGCUUUUCACUUCCCUGCUGCCUGGAACACCCUGGGCUGCAAGACACGGGUUGCUGGGAGUGUAGGACAUGGAAUGCCUGCAGUCAUCUGCAGCCUGUCCCUUGGUCAUCCCAGGGGAGGGGAAGCAAGUGAGAUCUAGUCGGAUCUACUUGUAGCUACUGAUCUAAUCACUGUGGCUCUUGGCCACUUGGCUUAUAGCUUUGGCAGUCAGCAAACAGUGCGAGCUUCAUCCGGAUGAAAUGUCUUCCUUACAGAAGUGUCGUGACCAGGCAGGGACAUGUCAUACCUUGGAUGACAAAGCGUCCCAAGAAAUGAAGAUAAAAAUUCCCCUCUAAUCAUGAAUUAUAUAUUUUCAUCUAAAUGAAGUCCACAAAUCCCACUUCAUAGUGCUGGGUUUUUUACUAGUUAUAAGACCUUCAUGGAGUUUGUGAGCCCUGGACUGAGGGUUAGAACAGGUGGCUCUAUUGCCCAGAGUCCUGAAUGACUGGGCCUGCCUACCUGUGGCAGGCUAGUAACAGCCAGGACUCUGCAGUGGAUACUUGGAAAGGACUAAGGGUCAGAUACCCAGCAGAGCUGAAACAGGAAAUGCCAGCUGGAGACUGUGGUCACCAGAUCCACGGGAGGCUGCAACCCUGAAUAGCUAGAGGCUUAAGGGUACUUCCUGACCUACUGGGGGUAAAACAUUAAAGUGGAAAAUGAGCAGGAGAGAUUCUCAAACACUGGAAAGAGCAGCUGCAAGACUUGAUUCGAUGAGGACAGAUAAUUUCUUAAAAGACAAUGGAGGCCAUAGUCAACCAGUAUCAAGACAGAGAGAAUGAGAGUUGAUGGUCAUUGGAAGGAGAGCCAGCUGGGGAUCCAGUACAGUGACCUUGAAAGCUUCCUUCUCCAUCUCUUCUAUAUAACUUGAGACAAAUCCCCAGACUUCCCCAACCCCCUUUUGCUCUUUGGAGGAGAGUAACGCUAACUUUGUUACCUACUUCACAGGAGCCAAGUUACUGUGUGAAGGCUUGUGGUGAAAUUUGAGUGUAUUAUACAAAUGGAAAGUAUUACUGCCCAAAGGAAUGGAAAACUUGGUCAGUUCACUUUUGGAUGGCCAUACUUGAUAGGUGGAGACUACCACAUUGUUAGGGUUGCUGGCCACAUGGCUAGGAAGGGUAAGUAUAAAACUAAAACAGGAAAUAGUCAUUCCUGCCCUGCAACAAAAUGGAAAUUGGCCUGGACUGCUGUAUGCUGCUGUUGGUUACAUCAUUAAGAUUUUGUAGCUGGGGUGAGCGGUGGGCUUAGACACACCCACGACCCCUGAAGCAGCUGGUCUUUUUAGCCCAGUGUCAUUAAAUGGUUUGGCAACAAUGGAACUAUUGAUUUAUACCCACAAAAUCCCACAAGGGUACCUGUUAAAUUCCAAUGACCUUCGUCUGGUAUAAAAUUCAGUCAAAUAAAAAUAAUGAUUCAUCCCCGGCAAAAUGGCAAGGUUUCAGCUUUAGAAGCCAAAGAUCUACUCCUACCCUAAGGGAUAAUAUAUUAACACAAGACUCACAGGAUUAAAAUAGAUUUCACUCAAGACCCUGUGGUUCUGUCUCCUGCCUAGAUUAAACCCUUCAGAGGGAGUCCAUUGUUGGUUUAUGGUUUGAUUGGCUCUGGAGCUACUGGCAGGCAUGUUGUAGCGCUAGGACUUCUGGGAGAGUUUGCUGAUCUCUCUCCAGUGGUUGCCUUUGUUUACUCUUGUCUACAGGAGGGAGCCCAGUUCCUCUACUUGUUCAGCAGGAACAGCUUGGGGAUCUUGAAUCCUAGGCAUAUAUAUUUCUUUCCAACAUGUCUGUAGCCCACCUGGAUUCAAUGCUGUCUCAGAGCUGUGCGUGUCCUGGAAGUAUGGUGAUAUUUUUGUUUGUGCUUUAAUAAAUAAAUCUUGCCUGAAGAGCAGAGAAGCAGAGGAGCCACUGGAGAGACUUCUUACCUCUACUGAAUCCUCAGCCUGAAAAGGCCUAGGUCCUGUCUCCACCCCGCCUUAUCACUUCCUCUCUCCUCCCAGCCAUAUCACUUCCUGUUUCCUCCUCUCAAGUGCUGGGAUUAAAGAUGUGUGCCACCACUGCCUGGCUAGCUCUGAACUCUGAUCUCCAGGCAAGCUUUACUUGUGAGAGCACAAACAAAAUAUCACCACAUGGAAGCUCUUGAGAGGUUAUUUCUUCCUUUUGCCCUUGAUUAUAUUCAUGCAUCUGUAUCUAUACACAGGACUCCUCCGGCAGCCACUUUUUCCAAUACUCUUGACCUCCCAUCCUCUCUGUUAUGACACAUUUGACUUUAGAUGGGAAAACACUUGUCCACAUCAAAUAAAAUAAAUCCUAAAAACACAAAAGAGACAUAUCAAAAGUAGAAUAACUGAACAGUCUAUCAUUAGAAGUGUUGAUAGACACAGCCAAUGGUGUGCAAAGAGGUAUUUAAAUCUAUAAUCUUAAAUUUA
Long non-coding RNA from Peromyscus eremicus (cactus mouse), 2842 nucleotides. RefSeq lists it as uncharacterized. Lineage: Eukaryota; Metazoa; Chordata; Mammalia; Rodentia; Cricetidae. The record is from RefSeq and is a predicted model, not a curated record. The transcript is spliced from 3 exons.